GGGAACAUACCCUUUUCUACGGAAUAGCUCUGGGAAACUGGAAUUAAUACCGUAUACGCCCUACGGGGGAAAGAUUUAUCGGGGAAGGAUUGGCCCGCGUUGGAUUAGCUAGUUGGUGGGGUAAAGGCCUACCAAGGCGACGAUCCAUAGCUGGUCUGAGAGGAUGAUCAGCCACAUUGGGACUGAGGCACGGCCCAAACUCCUACGGGAGGCAGCAGUGGGGAAUAUUGGACAAUGGGCGCAAGCCUGAUCCAGCCAUGCCGCGUGAGUGAUGAAGGCCUUAGGGUUGUAAAGCUCUUUCACCGAUGAAGAUAAUGACGGUAGUCGGAGAAGAAGCCCCGGCUAACUUCGUGCCAGCAGCCGCGGUAAUACGAAGGGGGCUAGCGUUGUUCGGAAUUACUGGGCGUAAAGCGCACGUAGGCGGAUAUUUAAGUCAGGGGUGAAAUCCCAGAGCUCAACUCUGGAACUGCCUUUGAUACUGGGUAUCUUGAGUAUGGAAGAGGUAAGUGGAAUUGCGAGU
This 520-nucleotide ribosomal RNA is filed under the name uncultured bacterium. RNAcentral describes it as "bacterial SSU rRNA". It matches the Rfam family "Bacterial small subunit ribosomal RNA", at positions 120 to 674 of the family's 1533-position model. The record is from RNAcentral.